GUGCCAGCAGCCGCGGUAAUACGUAGGUUCCGAGCGUUGUCCGGAUUUAUUGGGCGUAAAGCGAGCGCAGGCGGUUAGAUAAGUCUGAAGCUAAAGGCUGUGGCUUAACCAUAGUACGCUUUGGAAACUGUUUAACUUGAGUGCAAGAGGGGAGAGUGGAAUUCCAUGUGUAGCGGUGAAAUGCGUAGAUAUAUGGAGGAACACCGGUGGCGAAAGCGGCUCUCUGGCUUGUAACUGACGCUGAGGCUCGAAAGCGUGGGGAGCAAACAGGAUUAGAUACCCUGGUAGUCAAGGGCG
RNAcentral lists this ribosomal RNA (297 nucleotides) under uncultured Streptococcaceae bacterium. Its description in RNAcentral is "partial 16S ribosomal RNA". It matches the Rfam family "Bacterial small subunit ribosomal RNA", at positions 505 to 802 of the family's 1533-position model. The record is from RNAcentral. Lineage: Bacteria; Bacillati; Bacillota; Bacilli; Lactobacillales; Streptococcaceae.